AGCUGCGCGGUGAGCACAAAGCGAACUAUUCUUUCGCCUUUUACUAAAGAAAUACCGGCCCCCAAAUAGCAGCAUAUGCUAAUUUUUGAAGGGGAUUUUUCUUUUGGAGGUCC
Molecule: small nuclear RNA, 113 nt
Filed under: Sorghum bicolor (sorghum)
Lineage: Eukaryota; Viridiplantae; Streptophyta; Magnoliopsida; Poales; Poaceae
Description: U5 spliceosomal RNA
Rfam family: U5 spliceosomal RNA
About the family: U5 RNA is a component of both types of known spliceosome.
Source: Rfam by way of RNAcentral